CUACUAGACUUAUUUAGGCUUGCCAUGUAGGCCGUCAUUGUAACUAAUAAUUUGUUUUUAAAUGACUUGCCUAGAUUAAUAAAAAUUAAAAUAACAAAACAGUUGAAUACUUAUUGUCUCAAGAAAUUUCAGAUUUUCAUUGUUAAUUCAUUUGUAAAUAUUUCUAAAGACAUAAUUCCACUUUGACAUUUUGGGGUAUUGUGUGUAGCUGAGUGACACAAAAUCGCAAUUUAAUCAAUUUUCAAUUCUGGCUGUAACACAACAAAAUGUUUAAAAAGUCAAGGGGAGUGAAUACUUUCUGAAAGCACUAAUCAAAAUACAUGAUCAACUAAUAGAAACAAAGACAUUAUAAACUAAUACUUGUGUUUUCUCAGACAUACUUAAAAAAAAGGAAGGACUAUUAGGCAGAAUAUUAAUGAAAUGGAUCUACAGUAUAGGGGAAGUGAAAGAAAAAAGGAGAAAUGGUCUGGUUAUCUUGGACUUUUUUCAGUGUUUUUUACAGUCAGUGCGUAUGUGACCGAACACCAUAAUUCGGUCUUAUGUAGCAACAUUAGAAAAUGUGUUUUUGUUUACAUUGGAAAAAAGCAGACACACAGAGCUACAAAAUGGUAUAUCAUACACUGUAUUUGAGGAACAAUGCUUUGAAAGUUGAUAAACUUGUAACCCCACAUGAAAAUGGCUCUUAACCUCUUCAACCUAUGGGGGCGCUAUGUCAUUAUUGGAUAAAAAAACGUGCCCGUUUUAAGCGCAAUAUUUUGUCACGAAAAGAUGCUCGACUAUGCAUAUAAUUGCCAGCUUUGGAAAGAAAACACUCUGACGUUUUCAAAACUGCAAAGAUAUUAUCUGUGAGUGCCCCAGAACUGAUCUUACAGGCGAAACCAAGAUGAAACUUCAAACAGGAAAUGAGCAGGAUUUUUGAGGCUCUGUUUUUCAUUGUCUCCUUAUAUGGCUGUGAAAGCGCCACGAAUGAGCCUGCCUUUUCUAUCGUUUCUCCAAGUUGUCUGCAGCAUUGUGACGUAUUUGUAGACAUAUCAUUGGAAGAUUGGCCAUAAGAGACUACAUUUGCCAGGGGGCCAUCCGGUGUCUUUUGUCUAAAUUGGUGCGCAAUUGUCAGUAACACUCAUUUUACCAUGGGAUACAGAAGCAGAAGCACACUUCCAGGAACGAUACAUCAUUGAAGAGAUAUGUGAAAAACACCUUGAGGAUUGGUUCUAAACAACAUUUGCCAUGUUUCAGUCGAUAUUAUGGAGUUAAUUUGGAAAAAGGUUCGGCGUUUGGAUAACUGAAUUUUCAGGUUUUUUUGGUAGCCAAACGGACCGAUUUCUCCUGCACAAAAAAUCUUUCAGGAAAAACUGAACAUUUGCUAUCUAACUGAGAGUCUCCUCAUUGAAAACAUCCAAAGUUCUUCAAAGGAACUUGAACAUAUGCAAUGUAAAUUCUGCAAAUUUGUCCACUUCAAUCAAGAGGUCCUUCUGAAACACUGUCAAAUAGGAGGAGCAAACUGGCCCCGUCUUUACUCUGAUUAUGUCUGUACCUUUAACUACGGGAUUGGUGUCCCUAAACCGGGACGGUUGUUGCUAAGGUGGGCUAAUGUGACUACAAUGACGUAAGUAACAGCCAACUUUCCAGGACAUAGACAUGUCUUAUAUGGGUAGAAAGCUUAAAUUCUUGAUAAUCUAACUGCAGUGUCCAAGGAGUGGCUUCGUAAGAAGCAUUUCAAAUUCCUGGAGUGGCCUAGCCAGUCUCCAGAUCUCAACCCGAUAGAAAAUCUUUGGAGGGAGUUGAAAGUCCGUCUUGCCCAGCAACAGCCCCAAAACAUCACUGCUCUGGAGGAGAUCUGCAUGGAGGAAUGGGCCAAAAUACCAGCAACAGUGUGUGAAAACCUUGUGAAGACUUUUGACCUCUGUCAUUGCCAACAAAGGGUAUAUAACAAUGUAUUGAGAUAAACUUGUUAUUGACCAAAUACUUAUUUUCUACCAUAAUCUGCAAAUAAAUUCAUAAAAAAUCCUACAAUGUGAUUUUCUGGAUUUUUUUUCUCAUUUUGUCUGUCAUAGUUGAAGUGUACCUACGAUGAAAAUUACAGGCCUCUCUCAUUUUUUGAAGUGGGAGAACUUGCACAAUUGGUGGCUGACUAAAUACUUUUUUGCACCACUGUACAUUCAGUAAUAUUGCUCUGAUUUGUCAUCCCGAGGGUCCCAGAGAUAAAAUGUAGCAUAGUUAUGUUUGAAAAAAUACAUUUUUAUAUUCAACUGUAUGAACUGAUUUCUACAGUUUGAACCCUUGCUGUCUCUGUUUUUAUAUAUGCAGACAGUAUUACACGUUUCUAAAAGUGCAACACAGAAUAUAUUAUUUUCGUUAUUGUUGAUAUUUUUCAUAUGCUUCAAAAUAUACUUAACUCAGAGAUAAUUACUAAACAUAACAUAAAAAUCGAUGGUAUUGUUCAAGAACUUAUUGAUGCAAUAUUCUAAACAAAUCCUUUCAGCAAAGGCCUUUGAUUAGUUUUCUCUUUGUUGCCAUCAACAGACCUGUGUUGAAAUUAAGUGCAUCACCAACGUAAAACUGCUGGAGACAUUCAGAGCAUCUUUAAACCAGCACUCGCCUCAAACUGUACCGAGCCAGAAGGGGAGCUCUUGGACAGGAGAUCCAAGAUGUUGUAUAUUAACACCUGACUGUCCUUGCUUAGAGCCUAGUCUAACCUUGCCAUUUUAGAACACAGGUUUAUCAUAUCCUGGUGAAAGCCAUACACAACUCUAUUUAUAGGACAGGAAAAUCUUCCUGGCAUGAUUUUCAACCCCCAAAAUUACUGAUCCAUUUCACUUCCCUCUCAGAAUUGACACUAGCUGUGGUUUGUUCUGGACUCAGUCUGCCAAUUUAAAUGUGCGGGUGGUGUAUGGUAAGUCAAGGGAGCACCUCAAAAUGCUUAAUCUUUAAGCAACGUAUCACGUUUUAGCAAUAUCUGCAUUUAAGGUAUCAUAAAUGCCCCAAAUUACUCACAAAUAAAUCAUAUUGUUUUCUUUUGUGUAUUGUUUUUCCGACCUCAAACAUUGUGGCACAGAGGAAGAUAAUAGUCCUGGAAGGCCUCCCCUUGUUUGUUCGCAAAAAUCCAGCAAAGCUACUGAAGACAUGCGUGGUGAGUGUUUCAUUAAAAGCACCUCUGAAUAUUUGAAACAGAACUUCAUUAUAAAUCAGAAUUCAUUGCUUGGGAAAUGUAGAUUUUACACUCAUUUGGAAUGCUUCGCACCCUUUGUCCUUGUUUUAACCAGGACACUGCUCCAGAGAAGAGCCAGACCAGAGGCGUCUGUCACGUUCUGACCUUAAUUUCCUUUGUUUGUAUUUAUUUAGUAUGGUCAGGGCGUGAGUUGGGUGGGUUGUCUAUGUUUGUUUUUCUAGGUUUUGGGAAUUUCUAUGUUUCGGCCUAGUAUGGUUCUCAAUCAGAGGCAGGUGUCAUUAGUUGUCUCUGAUUGAGAAUCAUACUUAGGCAGCCUGGGUUUCACUUUGUGUUGGUGGGUGAUUGUUUCUGUCUCUGUGUUUGCACCAGAUAGGACUGUUUUGAGUUUCACAUUUCUUGUUUGUUGUAGUCAGUUGUUCAUGUGUAUCUUAACGUAUUAAAAAAGAACCAUGGACACUUACCACGCCGCAUAUUGGUCCUCUGAUCCGUUUCGCCUCUCCUCUUCGGAAGAAGAGGAGGAAAUUCAUUACAGCGUCGAAGCUGGCAUCCUCGCGGUUAUUGUGCUGGAAGAGGCUGUUGUCUUAAAAAGAUCUUCCAGACCUGCCAUCUGCAUUUGUUUACAUGUUUGGCCUCCUCUUCGCCUUGGAGAUACGUUUUUUGGGUACUCUAAGUACACUUUUGAGGUAUGCAUUCUUAGGAGUGUAGUGUGUUACCACUGAAGUCCAGCAUUGCAUAUUUGCUACAUUUCCAGAAAAACAACAAAAGUUUUUAUUGUGAAAACUGCACUGUUUUGUGCACUGCGCUUUUGAUUUGUGAAUUUUAUGGGUGUGGUUUUGGAAAAAUCAAAUGGUUCAAAACUACUUAUUUGCAUUGGUUGCUCAGUGGAUUGUGGGUAUGCAUAUAAUUGGUACCAUUGGUAAGAAAACACUGAAGUUUGUAGAAAUGUUUAAAUAAUGUAGGAGACUAUAACACAAAAGAUAUGGUAGGAGAAAAUCCAAAGAAAAACCAACCGGAAUUUAUUUUAUUUGAGAGCCCAUGCUCUUCCAAUGGAACGUAUAGGGAAAUAAUGAAAUCUAGCUCCCAGUAUGCAAUUCCUAUGGCUUCCACUGGGUGUCAGUAGUCGUUGUUCAAGGUUUCAGGCUUGUUUCUUCCAAAACGAGUAAGAAAUUAGUUUUACUACAGGGACACAGACUUGGAAAUUCUUGAAUGCGCGCGCGAUGAAGAGGACGCACACCUGCUAAUAUCGCUUUCCUAUUGAACAUACUUCUUUCCUUUUGAAAUAUUAUAGUUUAAUUACAAUUUAGGGUAUCUGAGGAUUGUAUAGAAAUGUAUUUUGACUUGUUUAAACAAGGUUUUGGGGUACAUUUUCGGAUCCCUAUCUUGCCAUGUUGAACAAGUGGAUUACUCAAAUCGAUGGCGCCAAUUAAACAGACUUUUUGGGAUAUAAAGAAGGAUUUUAUCUAACAAAACAACACUACAUGUUAUAGCUGGGACCCUUUGAAUGACAAAUCAGAGGAAGAUUUUCAAAAAGUAUGUGAAUAUUUAAUCGCUAAUUGUAAAUUUAUGAAACCUGUUUUGAUGUGGGCCACUGUCAAUCGCAUGGCAUGCUUUCGCUGUAAAGCCUACUGUAAAUCGGACAGUGCAGUUAGAUUAUCAAGAAUGAGCUUUUAACCCUUUCAUUUAUUUUUUAUUUAAUUUUUUUAUUUCACCUUUAUUUAACCAGGUAGGCAAGUUGAGAACAAGUUCUCAUUUACAAUUGCGACCUGGCCAAGAUAAAGCAAAGCAGUUCGACACAUACAACAACACAGAGUUACACAUGGAGUAAAACAAACAUACAGUCAAUAAUACAGUAUAAACAAGUCUAUAUAUGAUGUGAGCAAAUGCGUGAGUUCCAAAUAAUUCUAACGGUCGCGCCAGCGUGAGAUUCUUUAUGCAGGUGAUAAUAGAACGUUCUCUCCAUUACAGAAUGUGAUUGUUACGCAACAGUACAUUUAAUCCGUGCUGCCCUCAAACCAAGGCACACAGCGUGUUUUUAUUUAUAGACUAUUUUCAACUUGUCCAUUUCAAAUUAGUGUUUUAUUUUCUAAGAACAGUUUGAAUUGAGGUGUGUUCCGCCUCAUUCAUUCACAUAAGUAGUCAUUUUUACUUUUGCGGACCAAUUUUUUUUUUUUUACAUUUCUGACCCAGACAAAAUUCCUCAAACACUUCCCAAUUCUUUGUGCAGUUGAAGUCUGCAGACUUGUCCUGUACACACGUGUUCACAUUUUCCGUCUGUUGCCUGCAUCGCAGUCAUAGUUGUUUUCAUUAUCAAUAAUAACUUUGGAAAUGUGUGCGUUUCUAUCAAAGUAAGUGCCUUAUUACGUUAUAAUAGUUUCUGCAUGUCGUGUUGUCUUUUCUACUGUAGCAUAAUAUUUGUGUAUAUUCCUUAUAACCGUGGACACGCGAGGUAACGUUACUCAUUUCAUAACCUUUAUGGUGUUAUACUCAAUGAUUAGGUAGCUAGCUACAUUAUUCUAUUAGCUCUUGAAAACAAUGCUAAUUGCGUCAGAAAAGUAUUAGCAUGUGUUGUAUUUUGAAGCUACUCUGGCCUCAUGACUCCCAAGUGGCGCAGUUGUCUAAGGCACAGCAUCUUAGUGCUAGAGGCGUCACUACAGACACCCAGGCUCAAAUCCAGACGGCGUUUCUAUCAAAGUAAGUGCUUUAUUACGUUAUUAUAGUUUCUGUAUGUUGUGUUAUACCAUUUCUACUGUAGGUCACUGUGUAUGGAGCACAAUAUAUUUGUGUAUAUUCCUUAUAACCAUGGACACGCAAGAUAACGUUACUCAUUUCAUAACCUUUAUGGUGUUAUAGUCAAUUGUGCUUAUGUAGCUAGCUACAUUCUUCUAUUAGCUCUGUAAAACAAUGCUAAUUGCAUUCUACAAAGAGCUAUUUAUCAUGUCCGCCUUAUCCACUGCCUCCAUUUUGAGGUUAUAGUCGAGCACGCAGUCUGGUUUGAUUUUUCUCUCUCCCGUCAGGUGGCCCACCUUCCCUGUGGCCGCCAUGGUUGCUGUAUGGACAGUGGAGGGGACACGGAUGCCUCGUUUGUCAUGCCACUUUACUAACAGCUGUUGACAUUUUUUAUUUUGUAUAACGUGUCAUUUGGAAUGGUAGUAGCAUUGUUGAUGAAAUGCAGUCAUCGCAGCAGAACUAGGAAGCGGUCUUGGGAAAAGAGGGAAGCAAAGAAGGGAUUAACAAACGUAGGAUCUGUGCUCCAGUAUUCUCUUAGGGAGUUCUUCUUUACUAUCCCCAUGAGAAGGACUGUCACCAGCAAGGUAUACAUUUCACUAAUUGUGGUUGUCCCCCCAUUCUCUUGGCUCUCUCUUCUCCUGUAGCUCCAAGGCAUAGCGAUUGGUCUCGGUUAUGUCUCCCUCUAGCUCCUCUGUCAGAAAGAACUUGAAGCACUCUGCCUCAGAUGGAAAUGGCAAGGGGCGUUGCACUCCAGACUGGGAGUCAAAGCAAACAGCAGGGCCAGGAGGGGUGAAAUUGCUGGCAGCCUUCCAGCUACCACAGAACUCCUGUACUUCAUCCAUUGUCGGCCUGCCUCCAUCACCACCAGCAUCUUCAAAGGGACCUGGGACUUCGUCAGUGGACAAGGGUCCUCAGAUGCAGGGUUCUCAAUGGCUUCAAGGUUGGGAGGCAGCUCCUCACUGUCAGAAUCUGAUUCCUGACUUUCAGACUUUCAGCAUUUGUGAGUUGUCUCCUUUUGAAAGACAUUGCUAAUGCUACAGCUUAGCUCACUAGCUACAUACAUAAACAACAACACUGAAUGGCUCAGAGUGGGAGUGAGAGGUUACGUGAUUGACAGCCGGCACGGGCCACUUGUAGAAAUAAAUCACUAUCAGAAAAUGCUUGUGGUAAUUAUUUCUAUAUUUACUGUUUGAUUCACAUGUUUUUAAUAACCGACAAAUCAUGCAUUCCGAUUCUUGCAUAGAUUGUAAUGUGUAAAUAUGUGUGUAAAAUAAUUUUUUGAAGGUUGUACUGAUUAUGAUUAACUAAGCUAAUUCCAGCUGUGUGUGUAUCCAUGUUUUUUGAGAUACAAUGCAUUCUGGGUUUCACGAAAUUGUCUUUUGGACCGAAGAUGUUAUAACAAAAUGAGGUGAGUAAAGGUUCACUCAUUUUGAGAACUUGCAGAAAUGAAUGGUGGGAUGUCAACGAUGGUAGACGACACACCCCCUUCAACAUGCAUACUAUAAAAUGACCAAACCCAUCUUGUCUUCUCUUAUUAUCUUUGGUUUGUGUGAGAGAAAAAGCAUAGCAGCGCACAGAAAGACCCAUCAUCCGAUUACUUUCGAUUUCUGGAGUGUUUUACUCAAUUAUUUCGAUCAAUGGCGAGCUCACCCGUAAUGUGAUUAAUUAUAAAUAGCCAUUUCUAUUAGCUAAUUCAUUUAGUAGUUUAUGUCAAAUGAGAGUUAUACAAAUAUGACCUCUUUUGUUAAGUCAAUCUUUCCUCAGUUAGCGCUAGGACACAUGUAGCCUACAUUUUUCCGGUUUGGAUGAUUGUGUUAUGCUGUAGUUACUUCUGUGAAUGUCUGAAAAUUGAAUGCAAAAAUAAACUGCUGACAUUCUGGACAUAA
Molecule: long non-coding RNA, 7782 nt
Organism: Oncorhynchus nerka (sockeye salmon)
Lineage: Eukaryota; Metazoa; Chordata; Actinopteri; Salmoniformes; Salmonidae
Exons: 2
Source: RefSeq, a predicted model, not a curated record